UGCUGCUACCGUUAUCACAGCGCUCUUCCAUAAGGAAGAAUUUACCAGGGUAACUCAACCACAGGUCAGCCAGACACGGCAAACCUGUCAAUGGUUUGGCAGAUCCUGCCAAUCCACAAGAUACCUUACUAGUAAACGGAACUGUAGGAACAAGUCCUACAAAAAGGGGGCGAGAAUCUCCCCCGGUUCGAUCACCGAUGCAGCCCACUGUUCGCGCCAGACCGGUGGGCCACCGUGGGGACGAUAUCGACCGAUGCCGUGCAAAGGCCGGGCUCUUGGCGCCUUGCCAUGGCCGAAUAUCGCUCGGAUCAACUCUCCGAGGUUUGGUGAUUCCCUAGGGAAGCAAGCUUCUCCCGGCCUGUGGGUAAACCCACUCAGCCCGAGUGCGGCCAGCUCUCGGGUGGGAACCGUGAUGGCUUCUAUCCCUCCACCGUCCGUCCCUUCGGCGCCUUGGGAUUGGGACACUUUC
This 469-nucleotide long non-coding RNA is filed under the name Androctonus crassicauda. The record is from RNAcentral. Lineage: Eukaryota; Metazoa; Arthropoda; Arachnida; Scorpiones; Buthidae.